AACCCACGAACCACAAGAUCAUGACCUGAGCCGGAAUCAAGCAUCCGAUGCUUCACCGACUGAGCCAUCCACGUGGAGCCACCCACCCCAGUGCCGGGCUGAUCUCUAAUAAUACAAAACUGGAAACAACCUGAAUUCCGUGACAGUGGAAUGACUACGUGGUGGCAUAGUCACAUGGUGGAGCACAGGGCAGCAACGGGGCUGAAUGAGUGACAACUGCGUUCACAGCAUCCGGGAUUCUCACAAAAACCAAAACCAAAAGAACGCACAAAAGAUUACGAUUCCAUUUACGUAAAGUUUAGUAGGCAAAGUCAACGUGUGCUAUUAGAAGUCAAAAUAGGGGGGUUACUUUUCUUUCAUUUGUUUGAAUUGUGGAAAAACACCUGUAACCUAGAAUUUACUGUUCUAGCCGUUUUGCCGUGUGCAUUCCAGCAGCAUUCGGUACAUUCAUGGUGGUGUGUGCCCAUGAUCUCUGUCGAGUUCUAGAACUUUGACAGUCACUCCCCACUCUCCUCCCCCCAUGAUGUGACUUGUGGAGAUCCUGGAGGGAGUAAUGACUGGCAGGGGACAUAAUGGGGGGCUUCUGGAUAUUGGUAAUGUUCUUUUGUUUUACCUGGGUGAGAUCGUAUGGGUGUGUUUGUGUUGCGAAAAUGUAACUGUAUACUUAUAAUUUAUAUAUAUUUUGUACCUGAUAUCUAAAUACAUAUGAAUUUAGAGAUCUAUAAUAUCUGUACAGAUAUCUAUUGUAUAGAUAUGUACAUAUUUGUAUAGAUAUUAUAUACUGUAUACAUUUAGUAUACAGAUAUAUUAGAUAUUUAUAUGUAAAGUGAUAACGAUUAUUUUUCUAGGAGGUAGGAUUAUGAACCUCUAUUGUACUGUUUUGCUAAUUUGUGUUUUCCAGUUGGUCUUCAUGAAUAUGUAUAACUGUGGUAAUAGUUUUUAAAUAAAUAGCUUUUAAAUUUAAAAUAUCCUAAAUAAAGGAAAAUGACAUCCGUU
Lynx canadensis (Canada lynx) is the source of this 996-nucleotide long non-coding RNA. RefSeq lists it as uncharacterized. NCBI's taxonomy places the organism in Eukaryota, Metazoa, Chordata, Mammalia, Carnivora, Felidae. The transcript has 2 exons. The record is from RefSeq and is a predicted model, not a curated record.